Long non-coding RNA from Paramormyrops kingsleyae, 1735 nucleotides. RefSeq lists it as uncharacterized. NCBI's taxonomy places the organism in Eukaryota, Metazoa, Chordata, Actinopteri, Osteoglossiformes, Mormyridae. The record is from RefSeq and is a predicted model, not a curated record.
GUAACAUCCGCGUCCUACACACGCUGCCAACGUUCAGAAUCGAGAAGAGGCAUGGCGGCGUCAUCACGUCUACCUACGUCACGUGUACCGUUUUUAAUAAACAGUUUCAGAGAGCGAUGAUUGCUAAUAGCAAAUAGCAAGUUAUAAGGACGGCAUCACAAAGCUGCCGCGUUUGUAAACAACCUACAAAUAUGCACAUGCGAGAAAAGUGUGGACCCAGGUACUUGCUAAAGCUUGGCAAAAUGCAAGAGCAAGACUUGAGAAAAUACGUCCAUCAGUAACCUUCUGUGGAGCCGAAUUACAGAAGAACAGCAGGCUCCCGAAUUGUACUGCACGCACAGCCCCCCCUCACAUAGAAAGCAAAUUAAUUCAUCUUGAAUGAGAGAAACUCCACUCAAAAGUUACGGCAGUGAAAAGGCAAUGCGGUCCCCAGUCAGGACAUCAGGACCUUCCGUGUUCUGCUAGCAACCCCCCUAGGGUGCAGGGUGGCUCUAUGCUGCUGGCUGGGUGUACGUGCCACGCUUGAGAAGUAGAGUGUGUUUCCUCCCGCAGCCCAACACUUCCAGCCGACGCCACCUCACCAAGUGGUUCUUCAGUUUCCUGGGUAAUGAUGUGGCCUUUACAGGAGCCUUUGGCCGGGAUGUUGAGUUCCAAGCAUCCAGGAAACAGGAAGCUGCAUCCUGUCCUGCCUGCCUUGUUUCUCUUUGCCCAGGAAGAGCUUCUGGGCUCCUAUGAUGUGUUUUUCCACACAUCCAUUUGGGAAACAAUUUGGUGGAGCCCUGGGCACUGUCGGUUUGUGUCCCAUUUAUUUAAGGACACUCUCACAUACACUGGUUUCUAAAAGCCAGUAACAUCAUAAUGACAUUCCUUUUAAGACAUAUUGGUUUUUGUAGACCUAGUUAGCUUUCCAUGUUUAUUUACAUGCUCUUGUUUCACAGGCCGUUUUCAUGAUCUUCCUGCAGCCCAUCUUCGUUAUUAGCUGCACGCCGCCUCGCUCGCUCUCUCAGGUGAAGGGUCCUUCAGAAGCCCCUGGCUUUUCUGAGAGGAAGUUUGUUUGGUGAGAUGAGAGCAGAAAGAGAGGGAGUGGAAGAGGAGAGGAAAGAGCAAUGUUCCGAGAGGCGAGGAUGAGGGUACGGGGAGGUACGGGGAAGGAGGCGGCCCCUUUCUUCCCCCACCAUCCCUCACUCUGUCAUCCCCCCAUCUUGCUCUCCUUCUCCCCGAUUUCUCUCUGUUUAUUUCAAAAGGUGCUCUAUGGCAACAUGAGUGCAGGGCGAUGACAUUUCAGUCACAUCUAUGGCACAGUACAUUCUGAACACUGAUUAACACGGCUCCUCCCCCUCACCCUCUCUCUGUCUGUCUCUCUCCUCCUCUCUCCUGCUGUCUCUCUCCUGUCUCCGUCUCUGUCGCUCCCACUGUUCCACCAUCGUUACCUACGUCCAUUACCGUCCACACCAUUGCCGCCCUCUCUGCUUUUUCUCUCAUAUUUAAAAAUGAUUCAUGCAGAGCCGUAUCCCUGGCUAAAACCACAGAAUUUGAAAUGUUUACCUCCCAUUUUUUGUUUUGAUUUCCCCAUUUUUACAUUCCUUUUCACAUUUUACAAACUAGUUGGCAGAUUUUGUGGUUAUGACAAACAGGUACCAUCACCACGGCGAUUGCUCGGUGAGGACCCAACUCCCAGCUUUCUCAGCAGGAAAUACAAUUAUUUGUCAUGAUAACAGAAAUUGUUUUCCAUGUG